UACAGAGGGGGCAAGCGUUGUUCGGAAUUACUGGGCGUAAAGGGCGCGUAGGCGGCCCACUAAGUCGAACGUGAAAUCCCCGGGCUCAACCCGGGAACUGCGUCUGAUACUGGAUGGCUUGAGUUCGGGAGAGGGAUGCGGAAUUCCAGGUGUAGCGGUGAAAUGCGUAGAUAUCUGGAGGAACACCGGUGGCGAAGGCGGCAUCCUGGACCGACACUGACGCUGAGGAGCGAAAGCCAGGGGAGCAAACGGG
RNAcentral lists this ribosomal RNA (253 nucleotides) under uncultured bacterium. Its description in RNAcentral is "partial 16S ribosomal RNA". It matches the Rfam family "Bacterial small subunit ribosomal RNA", at positions 524 to 776 of the family's 1533-position model. The record is from RNAcentral.